CGAGGACUUGCUCUCUGGGUGACGAGCGGCGGACGGGUGAGUAAUGUCUGGGAAACUGCCUGAUGGAGGGGGAUAACUACUGGAAACGGUAGCUAAUACCGCAUAACGUCUACGGACCAAAGUGGGGGACCUUCGGGCCUCAUGCCAUCAGAUGUGCCCAGAUGGGAUUAGCUAGUAGGUGGGGUAAUGGCUCACCUAGGCGACGAUCCCUAGCUGGUCUGAGAGGAUGACCAGCCACACUGGAACUGAGACACGGUCCAGACUCCUACGGGAGGCAGCAGUGGGGAAUAUUGCACAAUGGGCGCAAGCCUGAUGCAGCCAUGCCGCGUGUGUGAAGAAGGCCUUCGGGUUGUAAAGCACUUUCAGCGAGGAGGAAGGGUUCAGUGUUAAUAGCACUGUUCAUUGACGUUACUCGCAGAAGAAGCACCGGCUAACUCCGUGCCAGCAGCCGCGGUAAUACGGAGGGUGCAAGCGUUAAUCGGAAUUACUGGGCGUAAAGCGCACGCAGGCGGUUUGUUAAGUCAGAUGUGAAAUCCCCGCGCUUAACGUGGGAACUGCAUUUGAAACUGGCAAGCUAGAG
This 580-nucleotide ribosomal RNA is filed under the name Serratia sp. VK74. RNAcentral describes it as "bacterial SSU rRNA". It matches the Rfam family "Bacterial small subunit ribosomal RNA", at positions 69 to 646 of the family's 1533-position model. The record is from RNAcentral. Lineage: Bacteria; Pseudomonadati; Pseudomonadota; Gammaproteobacteria; Enterobacterales; Yersiniaceae.